UUCCAUUGGAAGGCCCAACACAGUUUGAGCACUGAAAUAACUUACCAUCAAAGUGAAUGUUUUCCUCCUGAUCUUCUGCUUCAACUUGUUUCCAGAUCUUUCCUCCCUUGUACAUUAAGGAAAGAAUACAUAAUUAAAAAAAAAUUACUUUGCACAUUCCAUGACUCAACUGAUUUCUUUGCAAAUGUGCAAAAAAUAUUUGUUUCAGAGAGACUGAGAAGAAUGCCAACAGGACAUCUGAAAGUCACAUUUAGACAGCUGAUCUGAGACAAGUCUGAACACUCAGUGUUGAUAAUCUCAAAAUUUGAAGCUUAAAAUGCUGGAUAGAAACUCAGAAACGAUCAGAUUAAAAGAGAAGAAAACUAGAUUUGGGUCUCUCUCCUAAUGUGUUCAUCACAUCCUGAAGCCUCCUGGCUCACAACAGCAAUAUUACCAAUAUGUUAUGUUUGAGUUUCUUCUGUUUCUUCUGUCCAUUCCCACCUGUAGAUCAUUAUCUAUGGUUGUCCAACACUGCAGUUUCAGAUUCUCCUGACUCUUGAAAAAUUAAUGCAUUCAUUAUCCUUAUUCAUUACAAUAUUUGUCCAUCUUUGAAUCCUGCAAAUUAUUAUGCUUUGUUCAGUUAUCAUGCCACUUUUGUCAGUCCAGCUCUGUGUGCCCUCCAGCUAACCUUUUCUGCUCUCCAGGUCCCUAACUGAGGUGACACUCAGAGUUGCCUACACACUUAUACUCAAUGC
This 734-nucleotide long non-coding RNA is filed under the name Numida meleagris (helmeted guineafowl). Its description in RNAcentral is "lncRNA (ENSNMEG00000010691.1)". Lineage: Eukaryota; Metazoa; Chordata; Aves; Galliformes; Numididae. The record is from RNAcentral.